CCCAAGACGACUCUUCCCAUCUCACAUGAGAUCAAGAUCCCAGGAAGAAGACCUGGUAGAUAGACUGCAGGUGGACGCCUGGUAACAGGCGCAGCCAAGCAGGCCUAAUGAUCGUACGGCUUGUCUUC
This 128-nucleotide ribosomal RNA is filed under the name Chloroflexota bacterium. RNAcentral's name for it is "Chloroflexi bacterium (rhizosphere metagenome) partial 23S ribosomal RNA". It matches the Rfam family "Bacterial large subunit ribosomal RNA", at positions 2798 to 2925 of the family's 2925-position model. The record is from RNAcentral. Lineage: Bacteria; Bacillati; Chloroflexota.